Molecule: unclassified non-coding RNA, 299 nt
Filed under: Hevea brasiliensis (rubber tree)
Lineage: Eukaryota; Viridiplantae; Streptophyta; Magnoliopsida; Malpighiales; Euphorbiaceae
Source: RNAcentral
UUGAAACGACACACUGCACCAGACUUUCAAUUUGCAUUAUUCUAGCAGAGAUUUAGGAAGAGAAUACAAAGAAUCAUAAUGCAAUUGUUAUUUAAUUAAAGAAGUUGUUCUACAUACAUGAAAAAAAUCUCUCUCGCACAAUGCCUAACUGUAACAAUCCCGGCCACAUACAACACAACAGCAUAAGAACAAAAGGAAAGAGAACAACUGUAAACUCUGUUCCUUUCAGAUUAGAAAAGACCAAACAAUAAAGAAAAACCGAGCAAGAUAAGCCAGAGAAUAUGGACCAAAAGAAGCGC